GGACCCGCACAAGCGGUGGAGUAUGUGGUUUAAUUCGAUGCAACACGAAGAACCUUACCAGGGUUUGAAAUCAUUUCAAAACUCCUUGAAAGAGGAGCCUCCUUCGGGAUGAAAUGACAGGUGGUGCAUGGCUGUCGUCAGCUCGUGUUGUGAAAUGUCGAGUUAAGUCUCGUAACGAGCGCAACCCAUGUCUCUUGUUGCUCACUGAGUGCUUAAGAGAGACUGCCGACCAACAUCGGAGGAAGGUGUGGAUGAUGUCAAGUCAGCAUGCCCCUUACAUCCUGGGCUACACACGUACUACAAUGGUAGGGACAAUGAGCUGCGAUCCUGCGAAGGCUAGCCAAUCUCAAAAACCCUAUCUCAGUUCGGAUUGUACUCUGCAACUCGAGUACAUGAAGGUGGAAUCGCUAGUAAUCGCUGGUC
This 423-nucleotide ribosomal RNA is filed under the name uncultured bacterium. RNAcentral's name for it is "bacterial SSU rRNA". It matches the Rfam family "Bacterial small subunit ribosomal RNA", at positions 917 to 1350 of the family's 1533-position model. The record is from RNAcentral.